AGCAGCCGCGGUAAUUCCAGCUCCAAUAGCGUAUAUUAAAGUUGUUGCAGUUAAAAGCUCGUAGUUGAAUUUCGGGGUCAGCAGGUUGGUCGUGCCAACGGUAUGCACUGGCCUUGCUGAUUCCUCCCUCUUGUAGAACCGUAAUGCCAUUAAUUUGGUGUUGCAGGGAAACAGGACUGUUACUUUGAAAAAUUAGAGUGUUUAAAGCAGGCAAUCGCUUGAAUACAUUAGCAUGGAAUAAUGAAAUAGGACGUUCGAUCCUAUUUUGUUGGUUUCUAGGAUUGACGUAAUGAUUAAUAGGGAUAGUUGGGGGCAUUAGUAUUCAAUUGUCAGAGGUGAAAUUCUUGGAUUUAUUGAAGACUAACUACUGCGAAAGCAUUUGCCAAGGAUGUUUUCAUUAAUCAAGAACGAAAGUUAGGGGAUCGAAGACGAUCAGAUACCGUCGUAGUC
RNAcentral lists this ribosomal RNA (450 nucleotides) under uncultured Glomeromycotina. Its description in RNAcentral is "SSU rRNA". It matches the Rfam family "Eukaryotic small subunit ribosomal RNA", at positions 569 to 1025 of the family's 1831-position model. Lineage: Eukaryota; Fungi; Glomeromycota. The record is from RNAcentral.